CGGGAAUGGCUAUUUUCACUCAUGGAUGCUCCAAUUCCAGAGUUUUCUGUGAAAGGGAGGGGACCUUAAUUUUAGGUAUUUCGGCUGCUCCAGUUUUGCCUCAGAGGGCGAGAGUUUACGGUCAUUUUGCGAGAGAGAGAGGAACUAGUCAACGAUUGUCAAAAAAGGAACAACUUGAUUUCCCAAGGAAAGGAUUCUUUGCCACAAGGAAAGUUGUCCUCACAGUCCCUAGGGACAGUAGCUCUUCAAACACAAGCAGCAGCAAGGACAAUACUACAAAUCAAUCCGAGCAAACACCUUUUGGUUACACGAGGAAGGAUGUUUUAUUAAUUGGUUUAGGUGUCACAGUUCUUGGAUUUGGAUUGAAAAG
RNAcentral lists this unclassified non-coding RNA (370 nucleotides) under Hevea brasiliensis (rubber tree). Lineage: Eukaryota; Viridiplantae; Streptophyta; Magnoliopsida; Malpighiales; Euphorbiaceae. The record is from RNAcentral.